GACGAACGCUGGCGGCGUGCUUAACACAUGCAAGUCGGACGGAAAGGCCCUGCUUUUUUGGUCUGCUCGAGUGGCGAACGGGUGAGUAACACGUGAGUAACCUUCCCUUCUCUUUGGGAUAACUUCAGGAAACUGGGCCUACUACCGUAUAUGAUCUCCUCCUCCAUGGUGUGCGUUGGAACUUUUCGGCUGUUGGGGUUGGACUCGCGGCUUAUCAGCUUGUUGGUUGGGUAGUGGCUUACCCAGGCUUUGACGGGUCGCCGGCCUGGGAGGGUGACCGGGGACAAUGGGACUGAGAUACGGCCCAGACUCGUACGGGAGGCAGCAGGGGGGAAUAUGGCACAAUGGGCGGAAGCCGGAUGCAGCAACGCCGCGGGCGGGAUGACGGCCUUCGGGGUGUAAACAGCUGUAGCCUGUGACGAAGCGGGAGUGACGGUAAUGGGUAAAGAAGCACCGGCUAACUACGUG
RNAcentral lists this ribosomal RNA (468 nucleotides) under uncultured bacterium. RNAcentral describes it as "partial 16S ribosomal RNA". It matches the Rfam family "Bacterial small subunit ribosomal RNA", at positions 28 to 507 of the family's 1533-position model. The record is from RNAcentral.